Molecule: microRNA, 23 nt
Filed under: anatid alphaherpesvirus 1
Lineage: Duplodnaviria; Heunggongvirae; Peploviricota; Herviviricetes; Herpesvirales; Orthoherpesviridae
Description: dev-miR-D10-3p
Gene: dev-miR-D10-3p
Source: miRBase by way of RNAcentral
CUUUGAGUUCUAGCCCGUCUAUC